AAAAAAAAAAUAGCACUAGUUCUGAGCCUCCAGUAUCCCAUACUGCAUAGCGAGUGUGUUUGCAUUUUACAUUCAGCGGCGCUACUGUUUUUGUUGGCCGGGCAUUUUCUUUUAGGAAUUAUCAGCUUAUAUUUAAAUAACGAAUCUUAGUUUUAAGUACAUCACACGCAAACAUGGAGAUCGGCACAGAAAUAAGCAAGAAAAUACGGUGACUUUUUCGUGGCAGGUUGGGAGACUGAGGUUAAGGUUCGCGAAAAUGCUCUCCAACCAUCUAAAGUGGCGUAAAAAGUGUGACCCUUUGCAACGAAAGCUAGUGUUUCUAUUGGACAGAUUCAGGCUGCUAUCAAGGGGAAACUUCAAGAACUCGGUGCCUAUUUUGAUGAAGAGUUAUACCAGACUAUAUCGUGGUGAUGGCGGCCGACAAGAAGACUUCACAGCAGAUGUCUGACGACCUGGCCCUCGUCCUUGGAAACAAUACUAUCAAGAUUACAGUCUGGUUACAUGGAGUCCCUGAGAAGCUGAGCUCUGUGGCAGUAGGUCUGUGGCAGUAGGUAUGUUCAGGUUACACAGAGUCCUGGAGAAGCUGAGCUCUGUGGCAGUAGGUCUGUGGCAGUAGGUAUGUUCAGGUUACAUGGAGUCCUGGAGAAGCUGAGCUCUGUGGCAGUAGGUAAGUUCAGGUUGCGCCAAAGGAGUCUGUGCUUUCACUGAAAGUAACACUGUAGCGACUGGUGAGAGAGGGUAUCGCCCUAUCAGAGAUCAAAAGAACCCGAGAUGGUUAUGUAACAGACUUCAAGGCCAGGGUUGUUAUAAUACUGGACUAUAAAGUCAUCUUGUGUGUUGAGCGUUUACUCUUUUCUGUUCUUGAAUAGAGACCAUUCAUUUUUUUAAACAAAUGCUUUAUCUGUUGAAAGGUGUUAUCUGUCCAUGUGUAACUAAAUUGACACUCUCUCUCUCUGUCUCUCUGUCUCUGUCUGUCUGUCUGUGUAUCUAGAACCAGAGUCGAUGAGGCCUCCGCUCUACUCUGAAGCUGCGGCAUCUCAGCUGCGAAGAGUGAGGGGUCGAAGGGGCUUGUGGUGUCCAGUUCUCGCUCUCUGAUAGGACAGAGGCCCGCGUGUCCAUCUCCGCCCAUGAGCACAGUACCACAGAGACAAACGGUUCCCAUGGCUCCCAGGACCCGUUCAGCCAGCGAUGAGAUGAAAGCAUCCAUCGAGCUGGUUCAGGAGCACCUCCGCGGCUUGGCCCCCAGGGGACAGACUUGCCCCCCCUCAGAGUCUCAGACCCCCAGGCAGCUAGCUCGGCGACAAGAGACGAGCAGCCGAGACUUGAGUCCAGAUGAUGUGAUGUUGCUGUUCGGUUAUUUAUUUAUUUAUUUUUACAUUUUCUUAUGGUUUAAUUAUCAACGAUCUGGUCGGUCUUAUUUUCUUUUAUUUAAUUUUUAUUUGUGAAACUUAACAGAUUUUUUUUUUUUAACCAGACAACUUACAAGGGUUUUAUUAAGUUGUGGUACGGCACAUUUUUUUUUGUUGAUAUUGCUGAAAGUAUAUUAAAGUACUCCACAUGUCAA
Oncorhynchus keta (chum salmon) is the source of this 1564-nucleotide long non-coding RNA. RefSeq lists it as uncharacterized. The transcript has 7 exons. Lineage: Eukaryota; Metazoa; Chordata; Actinopteri; Salmoniformes; Salmonidae. The record is from RefSeq and is a predicted model, not a curated record.